CACGCAGCCACCACGGGGCGGGGCGGCUCUGCCAGCGUCGCGCUGGGCCGGGCGGGCUGGGCCGCGCCGCAGCGCCGGCGGCUGAUUCGGAGGCGGCGGCGGGGGAUGGACGAGGGUACCUGCGGCGGCCAUCGGCGACGGGCGGCCCAGCUUUAAGCACCUUGAGCUCACAUCACCCUCCUCCCAAGAGACUGAAACAAACGGAGUGUCAUGAGCUGUCCUUUAUUUCACCUGCAACCUCUGGAAAAAAAAAAAUAAAAACAGUAAUUAGGCCAGAGGCCUAAACUCCUGCCCUGUGAUUAAGGCGUUCAG
Molecule: long non-coding RNA, 312 nt
Filed under: Junco hyemalis (dark-eyed junco)
Lineage: Eukaryota; Metazoa; Chordata; Aves; Passeriformes; Passerellidae
Description: lncRNA (ENSJHYG00000005686.1)
Source: RNAcentral